CCGCACUUAACUCAGUAGGUCAGAGUUCCAAGCUUAUACCUUGGCGGUCGGUGGUUCAAGUCCAUCAGUGCGGA
This 74-nucleotide transfer RNA is filed under the name Bacteriophage sp. RNAcentral's name for it is "tRNA-Ile". It matches the Rfam family "tRNA". From Rfam's summary of the family: Transfer RNA (tRNA) molecules are approximately 80 nucleotides in length. Their secondary structure includes four short double-helical elements and three loops (D, anti-codon, and T loops). The record is from RNAcentral.